Molecule: ribosomal RNA, 497 nt
Filed under: uncultured bacterium
Lineage: Bacteria
Description: partial 16S ribosomal RNA
Rfam family: Bacterial small subunit ribosomal RNA
Source: RNAcentral
GAUGAACGCUGGCGGCGUGCCUAAUACAUGCAAGUCGAGCGAACAGACGAGGAGCUUGCUCCUCUGACGUUAGCGGCGGACGGGUGAGUAAAACGUGGAUAACCUACCUAUAAGACUGGGAUAACUUCGGGAAACCGGAGCUAAUACCGGAUAAUAUAUUGAACCGCAUGGUUCAAUAGUGAAAGACGGUUUUGCUGUCACUUAUAGAUGGAUCGGCGCCGCAUUAGCUAGUUGGUAAGUUACCGGCUUACCAAGGCAACGAUGCGUAGCCGACCUGAGAGGGUGAUCGGCCACACUGGAACUGAGACACGGUCCAGACUCCUACGGGAGGCAGCAGUAGGGAAUCUUCCGCAAUGGGCGAAAGCUUGACGGAGCAACGCCGCGUGAGUGAUGAAGGUCUUCGGAUCGUAAAACUCUGUUAUUAGGGAAGAACAAAUGUGUAAGUAACUAUGCACGUCUUGACGGUACCUAAUCAGAAAGCCACGGCUAACUACGUG